Molecule: unclassified non-coding RNA, 294 nt
Filed under: uncultured Sporichthyaceae bacterium
Lineage: Bacteria; Bacillati; Actinomycetota; Actinomycetes; Sporichthyales; Sporichthyaceae
Description: contains 16S-23S intergenic spacer region
Source: RNAcentral
AUGGACUACACGGGUUUCUAAUCCUGUUCGCUCCCCACGCUUUCGCUCCUCAGUGUCAGUAAUGGCCCAGAGUCCUGCCUUCGCCAUUGGUGUUCCUCCUGAUAUCUGCGCAUUCCACCGCUACACCAGGAAUUCCAGACUCCCCUACCAUACUCAAGCUCGCCCGUAUCGAAUGCAGGUCUGGGGUUAAGCCCCAGAUUUUCACAUCCGACGUGACGAACCACCUACGAGCUCUUUACGCCCAAUAAUUCCGGACAACGCUUGCACCCUAUGUAUUACCGCGGCGGCUGGCAC